This 1766-nucleotide long non-coding RNA is filed under the name Mytilus galloprovincialis (Mediterranean mussel). Lineage: Eukaryota; Metazoa; Mollusca; Bivalvia; Mytilida; Mytilidae. The record is from RNAcentral.
AAAUGAAAGGUGCCACAUGUGGAGCAGGGUCCGCUUACCCUUCCAGAGCACCUGAGAUCACCCCGGUUUUUGGUGGGGUUCGUGUUUCUCAGUCUUUAGGUUUUUUUCUGUGUUGUAUUUUGUGUUCUGUUGUUUGUCUGUUUGUCUGUUUCUUUUUUAGCCAUGGCUUUGUCGAUUUACUUUUUACUUAUGAGAUAUAACGUCCCUUUGGUUUUUCGCUCCUCCUUUACUUACGGUUAAUUUAUUACCAAAACAAUAAUCAGUUUCAAAAUUUUAAUUUGAAAACAAAAGUGCAAUGAAAUACAUACAAAUCAAACACUAUAAACAUAAUAUCACUGUUCAAAGUUAGAACUGUCACAUCCACUAAAAGUUACCCGGUUAUGCACAACCGUUUCUAAAUAUAGCAUUGAGAAAUAGUCAUUCCUUAUACGGAAUAUAUACAAAGUUGUCCCAGCCACUGAUCAUGUAUGAUCACUCCUUAUAUGGAAUAAGAAAAUCAAUAUCACAUAUUCUAUAUUAAAAAACACAAUUACAGAUUGAGAAAGUUCUAAGUUUCUAAAUAUAGCAUUUAAAAAAGUCACUCGGAAGCAGUCAGUGUAAGUGUAUCGUCUUGCGAUGAUUGAAGUUCAUUGGUGGUUGGUAGAACCACAGGUACUCUCCAGAAUGCAUUGAAAUCUGGAAUUUGUAGCAUGAUUUCAAUUUCUUUUAGUUUUCUCAAAAUGAAAUUUAGAGGUAAUCCCACAUUAAAAAAUUGAUUGGUAUCCGUGAAGAACCUUUGCGAGAGCACGUAGCUUCCUCGCGUGGUCAUCGGAAUACCCUGUCUUCUCUUUUAACCAUGCAGCCCAAGAUUGUUGAAUUCUUCCUUCUUUCCUUUCAUUUUCCAGCCAGGCUUUGGUAAGAUUUAAAAAAUGUCCAAAAUUAAUAUGAAUUAAAAGUGUUUGAGCAUCCUGCCGUUUUAGAUUUCGUAUCCCUUUAUUUAAUUUUUCCACAAUGUUCGUCUCACUCUCAUUGCCAAAAAGCAAAUAACCGUCGGUGAAUGUUUCUCUAGAAAUUGUGCGGUUAACAUCAGCAAUGUUGUCUGUUAGAUAUUUGUGCAGUUCUAGGGGGUCAUUUUUUCUUAUUCACUUUUCCAUAAACGUCACUAAGCCGUUGUUUAGGUUUUUUAGGAAGCUUCGGCAUCUUUCCGGUUGGUCCAUUUGAAUCAAUUUCGUUAACCAACAAUCCCAUAUUUUGAUAGUAAAUUUUAUAAUCAUUAAUAAAUUGUUUUUGGGUAUCAGUCCAUUGUUGUUCUGAUUCCAUAUCUGCUUCACGUUCACACUGAUUUGAAGGUAAAAUUAAUGUCUCACCACUGUUAAUUUGAAACGAAAGACCGCACCAGUCUGCUAUAUGUUUACAUGUGAUGACAACAUUGUCUAGGCAACAUGUAAACAUACUCUUGACAACCAUGUAAAUAUUUCCAAUGAUCGAUUUAGUCUAUUUAAAAGUCAUGUCCUAUUAAAUAGCAAAUGUAAAAAGCAAUUUAAGUUGUAGUAGUAUUGAUCCGUUUUAUUACUAGACUAUAUUGAUAAAAUUAAUUAAAAAUCAAGGUUGGGGCGCACUGGGGAAAUUAUUUUUUCUCUUAAAUCCCACAGAAUUCUUUCUCUGCCUGUUCUCCCGGUUUUUUUUUUUUUUGGGAGUAAGAAAAUUUGGUGUUUUUUGGGGUGUUUUUUUGCUUUUUUUUUUUAUGAAAAUUUAGGGCUCUUUUACUUGAAAUGAGGGUAAUUUUU